GGGCUUGUGGCGUAACGGUAGCGCGCUCGCAUGGCAUGUGAGAGGUUGCGGGUUCAAAUCCCGCCAAGUCCA
This 72-nucleotide transfer RNA is filed under the name Microcaldota archaeon. Its description in RNAcentral is "tRNA-Ala". It matches the Rfam family "tRNA". From Rfam's summary of the family: Transfer RNA (tRNA) molecules are approximately 80 nucleotides in length. Their secondary structure includes four short double-helical elements and three loops (D, anti-codon, and T loops). Further hydrogen bonds mediate the characteristic L-shaped molecular structure. tRNAs have two regions of fundamental functional importance: the anti-codon, which is responsible for specific mRNA codon recognition, and the 3' end, to which the tRNAs corresponding amino acid is attached (by aminoacyl-tRNA synthetases). tRNAs cope with the degeneracy of the genetic code in two manners: having more than one tRNA (with a specific anti-codon) for a particular amino acid; and 'wobble' base-pairing, i.e. permitting non-standard base-pairing at the 3rd anti-codon position. The record is from RNAcentral. Lineage: Archaea; Nanobdellati; Microcaldota.